RNAcentral lists this ribosomal RNA (277 nucleotides) under uncultured Pseudomonas sp. RNAcentral describes it as "partial 16S ribosomal RNA". It matches the Rfam family "Bacterial small subunit ribosomal RNA", at positions 1107 to 1382 of the family's 1533-position model. Lineage: Bacteria; Pseudomonadati; Pseudomonadota; Gammaproteobacteria; Pseudomonadales; Pseudomonadaceae. The record is from RNAcentral.
GUCCUUAGUUACCUAGCACGUUAUGGUGGGCGACUCUAAGGAGGACUGCCGGUGCAACCGGAGGAAGGUGGGGAUGACGUCAAGUCAUCAUGGCCCUUACGGCCUGGGCUACACACGUGCUACAAUGGUCGGUACAAAGGGUUGCCAAGCCGCGAGGUGGAGCUAAUCCCAUAAAACCGAUCGUAGUCCGGAUCGCAGUCUGCAACUCGACUGCGUGAAGUCGGAAUCGCUAGUAAUCGUGAAUCAGAAUGUCACGGUGAAUACGUUCCCGGGCCUU